Molecule: ribosomal RNA, 229 nt
Filed under: uncultured bacterium
Lineage: Bacteria
Description: partial 16S ribosomal RNA
Rfam family: Bacterial small subunit ribosomal RNA
Source: RNAcentral
UACGUAGGCGGAAAAUUAAGUCAGUAGUGAAAUCCUGCAGCUUAACUGUAGAACUGUUAUUGAUACUGGUUUUCUUGAAUAUAGUUGAAGUAGGCGGAAUGUGUAAUGUAGCGGUGAAAUGCUUAGAUAUUACACAGAACACCGAUUGCGAAGGCAGCUUACUAAGCUAUGAUUGACGCUGAGGUACGAAAGCGUGGGGAGCGAACCGGAUUAGAUGCCCUGGUAGUCC